GUUGUGUCAAUUCGAGAUGUUGGUAUUACAGGCAUGUGACGCUUUCUAGUAGGCGUCGUGGUGGUGCGGACUAUUGAUGAUACACACGGUGUACUGUCUUUGUAAACGUUGUGUUCCGUUUUCUUACAUGAAAUCGCAAGGAAAAAGAUCCCCAAGGUAAAGGGUGUGUACCUACGACUGGUACCACUUGACGGUUAGUGAUGACCUCUGCCUUGACGGCGACAGUGCCGGGCGAAAUAGUUCCCACAACUGUUUUCCCGUUGGUAGUGACUUCCGACCUCGCUGAAGAAGGCAGUCCGUGUGUACUUGCUUCCCGUUCAUAUGCGAAAGUGGAAGUUUACGUGAAGGUUCCCUGACACGGACUAGCAGAUGAGUUAUAUUCGUUCAACGUUC
Molecule: ribosomal RNA, 393 nt
Filed under: Triticum aestivum (bread wheat)
Lineage: Eukaryota; Viridiplantae; Streptophyta; Magnoliopsida; Poales; Poaceae
Description: partial small subunit ribosomal RNA
Source: RNAcentral